AAAUCAGUGGUGGCUGUCACUGGGCCCUUGGCCUCAUGGGCCUUGUGGAAAAGCCCUGGUAACUGUGGAGGGAAGAAGUACUUUGAUCAAAGCUCUCCACCAGGGCAGCCUUGACAAUAUCUGCCAUCCCGUAUGCUCUUCUGCAGAGUGACCUUGGCACGCCUCCAUCAAGAGCUGGAGCUCAUUCCACAUCCUAGUAUCUGGGUGCAUUGUGGCUGCUUUGACCUAUAGGGUUCACUCUAACCCGUUUGGCAAACUGGCCUUGCCAGAGCAGCAUUGCUGAAACUGUGGUUCUAGCUGGUCUUGGCUCUUCAUGGCUGGGCUCAGAUCUGAUCUGUGUGUACCCCAUCUAGACCAAAGGAGACUCCUUUUGGAAAACCCAGAGGUACUGGAAACAUUCAUCUACAACCUCUUUGAAGAAUGUGACAAGAAUGCUUCAUACUGACUUUGGAAAGUGAAUGGUCAAUCAGUGCUCCCUGGGAAAAGGCAAACUGCACCAGCUGGGAGUUACCCUGAAGGGGAGUGGGAAACCGACCAGGACCUGCUUUGAACUUGGCGAUGGCGCUGAAGAGGGCGGCAGACCUCUCGGAACAGGCGUCUAUGAGGCUGAC
Long non-coding RNA from Peromyscus californicus insignis, 611 nucleotides. RefSeq lists it as uncharacterized. The transcript is spliced from 6 exons. The record is from RefSeq and is a predicted model, not a curated record. NCBI's taxonomy places the organism in Eukaryota, Metazoa, Chordata, Mammalia, Rodentia, Cricetidae.